Molecule: ribosomal RNA, 253 nt
Filed under: uncultured bacterium
Lineage: Bacteria
Description: partial 16S ribosomal RNA
Rfam family: Bacterial small subunit ribosomal RNA
Source: RNAcentral
UACGUAGGGGGCUAGCGUUGUCCGGAAUCAUUGGGCGUAAAGAGCGCGUAGGCGGCCCGGUAAGUCCGCUGUAAAAGUCCAGGGCUCAACCCUGGAAAGCCGGUGGAUACUGUCGGGCUCGAGUCCGGAAGAGGCGAGUGGAAUUCCUGGUGUAGCGGUGGAAUGCGCAGACAUCAGGAGGAACACCGGUGGCGAAGGCGGGUCUCUGGGCAGUAACUGACGCUGAGGAGCGAAAGCGUGGGGAGCGAACAGG